UAUUGGUCAAUAGCCUAACGGCUGAACCAGCAACUUGGAGGAAUGUAUAGGGAAAACUGGUAAAAUGUGAUGUACCUAGUAGUAUUAGUAAUUAAUAUGAGAUUAACUAAGUUAAUUAAAAUUCUAAGUAGAUAUUUGAUAAUGACAAUAUCUGCAUAGGUCUUGACCAAGUCACGUGCCAGCAGUCGCGGUAAUACGUGGAAGACAAGUGUUAUUCAUCUUUAUUGGGUUUAAAGGGUACCUAGACAGUUAAUUAAGCAAUUAGAUGAACUAAUUAACUAGAGUUUAAUGUAAGAAGGAUCGAGUACGGUGAGUGUAGAGAUAAAAUUCUUUGAUACCACUUAGGAACUGGUAACAGCGAAGGCUACCUUCAAUGUAAAAACUGACGUUAAGGGACGAAGG
This 402-nucleotide ribosomal RNA is filed under the name Ampliotrema rimosum. RNAcentral describes it as "SSU rRNA". It matches the Rfam family "Bacterial small subunit ribosomal RNA", at positions 362 to 759 of the family's 1533-position model. Lineage: Eukaryota; Fungi; Ascomycota; Lecanoromycetes; Ostropales; Graphidaceae. The record is from RNAcentral.